GAUGAACGCUAGCGGCAGGCCUAAUACAUGCAAGUCGGACGGGAUUCAGGAGCUUGCUUCUGAUGAGAGUGGCGCACGGGUGCGUAACACGUAUGUAACCUACCUUUAUCAGGGGGAUAGCCUCUCGAAAGAGAGAUUAAGCCCGCAUAAAAUCACAGCACAGCAUUGUGUAAUGAUCAAAUAUUUAUAGGAUAAAGAUGGGCAUGCGGAACAUUAGCUAGAUGGCGGGGUAACGGCCCACCAUGGCGACGAUGUGUAGGGGAUCUGAGAGGAUGGCCCCCCACACUGGUACUGAGACACGGACCAGACUCCUACGGGAGGCAGCAGUAAGGAAUAUUGGUCAAUGGGCUGAAGCCUGAACCAGCCAUGCCGCGUGCAGGAAGACGGCCCUACGGGUUGUAAACUUCUUUUAUACGGGAAUAAACCCCGAUACGUGUAUCUGGCUGACUGUACUGUAAGAAUAAGGAUCGGCUAACUCCGUG
Molecule: ribosomal RNA, 482 nt
Filed under: uncultured bacterium
Lineage: Bacteria
Description: partial 16S ribosomal RNA
Rfam family: Bacterial small subunit ribosomal RNA
Source: RNAcentral